UACAGAGGAUGCAAGCGUUAUCCGGAAUGAUUGGGCGUAAAGCGUCUGUAGGUGGCUUUUUAAGUCCGCCGUCAAAUCCCAGGGCUCAACUCUGGACAGGCGGUGGAAACUACCAAGCUGGAGUACGGUAGGGGCAGAGGGAAUUUCCGGUGGAGCGGUGAAAUGCGCAGAUAUCGGGAAGAACACCCGUGGCGAAGGCGGUUCUCUGGGACGGUACUGACGCUGAGACGCGAAAGCGUGGGGAGCGAACAGG
Molecule: ribosomal RNA, 253 nt
Filed under: uncultured bacterium
Lineage: Bacteria
Description: partial 16S ribosomal RNA
Rfam family: Bacterial small subunit ribosomal RNA
Source: RNAcentral